This 790-nucleotide ribosomal RNA is filed under the name uncultured archaeon. Its description in RNAcentral is "bacterial SSU rRNA". It matches the Rfam family "Archaeal small subunit ribosomal RNA", at positions 85 to 878 of the family's 1478-position model. The record is from RNAcentral.
ACUGCUCAGUAACACGUAGUCAACAUGCCCAGGGGACGUGGAUAACCUCGGGAAACUGAGAAUAAACCACGAUAGGUCACGAUUUCUGGAAUGGAUCAUGGCCUAAAUCUACAUGGCCCCUGGAUUGGACUGCGGCCGAUCAGGCUGUUGGUGAGGUAAUGGCCCACCAAACCUAUAACCGGUACGGGCUCUGAGAGGAGAAGCCCGGAGAUGGGCACUGAGACAAGGGCCCAGGCCCUAUGGGGCGCAGCAGGCGCGAAACCUCUGCAAUAGGCGAAAGCCUGACAGGGUUACUCUGAGUGAUUUCCGCUAAGGGGAUCUUUUGGCACCUCUAAAAAUGGUGCAGAAUAAGGGGUGGGCAAGUCUGGUGUCAGCCGCCGCGGUAAUACCAGCACCCCGAGUGGUCGGGACGAUUAUUGGGCCUAAAGCAUCCGUAGCCGGUUCUGCAAGUCUUCCGUUAAAUCCAGCCGCUCAACGGAUGGGCCGCGGAGGAUACUACAGGACUAGGAGGCGGGAGAGGCAAGCGGUACUCAGUGGGUAGGGGUAAAAUCCUUUGAUCCAUUGAAGACCACCAGUGGCGAAGGCGGCUUGCCAGAACGCGCUCGACGGUGAGGGAUGAAAGCUGGGGGAGCAAACCGGAUUAGAUACCCGGGUAGUCCCAGCUGUAAACGAUGCAGACUCGGUGAUGGGCUAGCCUUGUGCCAGCCCAGUGCCGCAGGGAAGCCGUUAAGUCUGCCGCCUGGGGAGUACGGUCGCAAGACUGAAACUUAAAGGAAUUGGCGGGGGAGCA